Piliocolobus tephrosceles (Ugandan red Colobus) is the source of this 501-nucleotide long non-coding RNA. RefSeq lists it as uncharacterized. The transcript has 3 exons. The record is from RefSeq and is a predicted model, not a curated record. NCBI's taxonomy places the organism in Eukaryota, Metazoa, Chordata, Mammalia, Primates, Cercopithecidae.
CUUCUCCAAUUUACUCACCCCUUGGUCCUUAUUUCUAACAUUCUAUAAUGUUUUACUUGUUUUAUCUUUAUUGUCUGACACAUUACUACUGAGGGAAUGAGUGAAUUGUCUCAAACUGUACCAUCCUCACUGCUCACAAAGUCGGAUAGCAAAGAGCGGUGGUAGCAGCUCAGACUGAAAGGGAUCUGGAUGACUUCAGUGAUGGAGGCAGCAGAUUAUCCAGGCUGAACUCAAAGUCCCACGCAAAUGAAGGUAGGCUAUCCAGAGAGAGGCAGAGCCAGUGUGGCCUAUCUUCAAGAAGGAAAACAUGGAAGGGGCACAGAAGUUAAAGCACUCAUUGAAGAUUUUUCCAGCUAUUAUGCGAGUGGUCACCCCAGUUCUGUCCAACGCUGCAGCCACUGGCCAUGCCAGGCUCUCGAGCACCUGAAAUGUGCCUUGUCAUAAUCGAGAUAUGCUGUCGUUGUAACUAACACCCUGGAUUUUGAGGAUUUAGAGUGAAAA